Molecule: ribosomal RNA, 116 nt
Filed under: uncultured eukaryote
Lineage: Eukaryota
Description: partial small subunit ribosomal RNA
Source: RNAcentral
GUUGGUUUCACCCGAAGGCAGUGCGCUAACCGCAAGGAGGCAGCUGACCACGGUGGGAUCAGCGACUGGGGUGAAGUCGUAACAAGGUWKYCGUAGGUGAAYCUGCAGAAGGAUCA